This 253-nucleotide ribosomal RNA is filed under the name uncultured bacterium. RNAcentral describes it as "partial 16S ribosomal RNA". It matches the Rfam family "Bacterial small subunit ribosomal RNA", at positions 524 to 776 of the family's 1533-position model. The record is from RNAcentral.
UACGGGGGGGGCAAGCGUUGUUCGGAAUUACUGGGCGUAAAGGGUGCGUAGGCGGCUUUCUAAGUUGGAUGUGAAAACUAUGGGCUCAACCCAUAGCCUGCAUCCAAAACUGGAGAGCUUGGGUUCUGGAGGGGAAAGCGGAAUUCCUGGUGUAGCGGUGAAAUGCGUAGAUAUCAGGAGGAACACCGGUGGCGAAGGCGGGUCUCUGGGCCGAUACUGACGCUGAGGAGCGAAAGCGUGGGGAGCGAACAGG